Molecule: long non-coding RNA, 1202 nt
Organism: Astatotilapia calliptera (eastern happy)
Lineage: Eukaryota; Metazoa; Chordata; Actinopteri; Cichliformes; Cichlidae
Source: Ensembl
UUUCUAUUUAUGGUUAAACUAUACUAUAAAAUCAGACUCCAUAUAAGAAUUGCUGGUAGGUUUGAAAUGAGAGCUCUUAAUACUAAUUUGUAACCCUAACAAAAGAAGUCAUAUUGUUAGAGUUAUGCAUGCAAGGAAAUGAAAGCAGGGAAAGGACAAAGAAAAAUGAAAACUGGACAUCAAGUAUGUCAAUUACAGAAACCAAACCAAUUAAAAUGGGGGCAAAUUUCUUAACCUACACAAGGCACUUUGAACUUAAUUGAUAAUGCCACUUGUACAAAAUUAAUAUCACGAUGUACCCUCGUCUAUGAUCUACAAUCAUUAAAUUAUUUAACCUAAAUCAAGUAAACUUCUGUAGAUGAACCAGGCAUGCACAAAGAAAAAAACACACACACACACACAUUUACUGCAAUGGAAGCCUUUUUUCAAAUAUGACAAUUAAAAAUAAUAAUAUUAAAGAUAAUUACAAAUUGAACAUACCAUAUAUACUGGUGCUAGUGAUCAUGUCUUCAAGCCUAAAAACAAGAGGAGAGGGAAAACAGCAGAAACGGAAUUUUCACGAGGAGGAAUUCCAAAGGUUGCUUCUCAUUACAGCCACUUUUUGCUCAGCUAUCGGAUUUCACAACUUUCAAAACGCACGGUCCCCUUUUCUUCCUGUAGGUAUUCAUUUAGAGCGUAUAAUUAAGAAUAAUAAAAACGAAGAAGAACGCAUCGUGCGACUCAUAUUUUUCGAAGCAAAAAAAAAAGAAAAGAAAAAAAGAAAAAGCCCUGGAAGGAGACGCAAAAGCCACACAGGCGCGGCUGGAGGCUGUCACUUCUUGCGCGAGUUGAAACAAGAGAAUAGGAAGCAUGUGAGAGACUGUGGAUGACACAAAACACACAUUCUUCAUGCCGCCCAUUAGAGGAAGAGGCUAAACCAGCGUGAUGCCCCCUCCCUUUACUUUUAAAAUAGAUUACUUGCCAGCAGUUGUCCCACUAAGCGCGCAAUGACAACCCAUCUAUUAACCACCCGCCUGCGGUUAUCGCGGCAAGUUUUAUUCAGGCUGACAUGCAAAAACUUCUCGUUGCAGGGAAGUUAUUUUGGAGACUGGAUUCAGCCGUGCGUGUAACCUUCGCUUCACACAACGGAGUGUUGCACGUUAAUUGUAAAGUCCCUUUCCAACUUCAUAAUCUUCUUUUGGUAUUUUCUAAAGCAGCGGCCG